CCCAGACAGACACCCACCGGGACAGACACACAGACGCUCACGCUGACGCAGAGAGGCCCUGCCCAAGAGGCAGCUUCCCCACAGGAGGGCGGUGGUGCUUGAGCUGGGCCCGGGCAAGGAGGCGGGGGCCCUGGGGCUGGCGAUCACCCCUGGGGCCCUGGGACGUGCAGACAGGGUCUCAGGAGUGCAGCGCUCCUGGGAUCCCUGUCCCGCGACCCGGACGCCCAGGAGCCACGGACUGGCAGCCGGGCUCGGGCUCGCUCUCGCUCUCGCUCUCGCUCUCGCUCUCGCUCUCGCUCUGUGUGUGUGCGUUUUUGUGUGCGCCUGCGUGUCUGUGUCUGUUUGUGUGUUUCUUUCCUUCUCUCUUCGCCUCUUCGUUCUGGCUCUUUUCCUCUUUCUGCGGGGCGCCCCCGGACUUCCUGAGUUGACAGAACGACCAGCCAGAAAAGUCAGGACACGGAGAACUUCGCCCGAGAAACCAACGCAAUCUACCAGACGUACAGAACCCCCUCCCCGACGACCACAGCGUCCACAGUCUGCUCGAGUGCAGACGUACAGAACCCCCUCCCCGACGACCACAGCGUCCACAGUCUGCUCGAGUGCAGACGUACAGAACCCCCUCCCCGACGACCACAGCGUCCACAGUCUGCUCGAGUGCAGGAUUCAGGAAAUAGUUUACGAUUCAAGUGCAUCCUAAAGUUGGAGCAACCCUGGCUAGAAUAUCAUAGAUCCUUGAGUUGGCAGAGACCUUUCACUCUUCAGUAUAUUUAUAUUCAACGCAAAGAUCCUUCCUUCUAUAUCAUCCUUGACAACAGACCACCUAGAUUCUGUGUAAAUAAUUCCGAUGACAAGAAACGCAUUAAAUAAAGAGACCCCUUUGUUUUUAGAGUUUUAAAUGUUU
Molecule: long non-coding RNA, 901 nt
Filed under: Equus asinus (donkey)
Lineage: Eukaryota; Metazoa; Chordata; Mammalia; Perissodactyla; Equidae
Description: lncRNA (ENSEASG00005027985.1)
Source: RNAcentral